UCCUCGGCCUGCUGCGGGCAGAUGAAGUGGACGUGCGUGUCGAUCCCACCCGCGGUGAGGAUCAGGCCCUCGCCCGCGAUCACCUCGGUCGACGCGCCGAUCACGACCGUCACGCCGGGCUGGAUGUCGGGGUUCCCCGCCUUGCCGAUGCCCGCGAUCCGCCCGUCCUUCAGACCGACGUCGGCCUUCACGAUUCCCCAGUGGUCCACGAUCACGGCGUUGGUGAUCACGGUGUCCACACAAUCCGCGCGAAGGGCCUGGCUCUGCCCCAUUCCGUCCCGGA
Molecule: small RNA, 283 nt
Filed under: Vulgatibacter incomptus
Lineage: Bacteria; Pseudomonadati; Myxococcota; Myxococcia; Myxococcales; Vulgatibacteraceae
Description: 5' ureB small RNA
Rfam family: 5' ureB small RNA
Source: Rfam by way of RNAcentral